CCUACGGGUGGCUGCAGUGAGGAAUAUUGGUCAAUGGGCGAGAGCCUGAACCAGCCAAGUCGCGUGAAGGAUGACGGCCCUACGGGUUGUAAACCUCUUUUGUCGGGGAGCAAAAGCCGGACGUGUCCGGCUGUGAGAGUACCCGAAGAAAAAGCAUCGGCUAACUCCGUGCCAGCAGCCGCGGUAAUACGGAGGAUGCGAGCGUUAUCCGGAUUUAUUGGGUUUAAAGGGUGCGCAGGCGGAUUUUUAAGUCAGCGGUCAAAUCGUGGGGCUCAACCCCAUCCAGCCGUUGAAACUGGGGAUCUAGAGUGUGCGAGAGGUAUGCGGAAUGCGUGGUGUAGCGGUGAAAUGCUUAGAUAUCACGAAGAACUCCGAUUGCGAAGGCAGCCUACUAAACUGCCACUGACAUUGAUGCUCGAAAGUGUGGGUAUCAAACAGGAUUAGAUACCCUGUAGUC
Molecule: ribosomal RNA, 457 nt
Filed under: uncultured bacterium
Lineage: Bacteria
Description: partial 16S ribosomal RNA
Rfam family: Bacterial small subunit ribosomal RNA
Source: RNAcentral